GAUGAAGAACGUAGUGAAAUGCGAUAAGUAAUGUGAAUUGCAGAAUUCAGUGAAUCAUCGAAUCUUUGAACGCACAUUGCGCCCCUUGGUAUUCCGGGGGGCAUGCCUGUUCGAGCGUCAUUUCAACCCUCAAGCUUCUGCUUGGUCUUGGGCCGUGCCGGCAACGGCUGGCCUUAAAACUAGUGGCGGUGCCAUCGAGCUCUACGCGUAGUAAUUCUAUCUCGCGUCUGGGCUUCGGUGGACGCUGGCCAGCAACCCCCAAUUUUCUAUGGUUGACCUCGGAUCAGGUAGGGAUACCCGCUGAACUUAAGCAUAUCAAUAAGCGGAGGA
RNAcentral lists this unclassified non-coding RNA (330 nucleotides) under soil metagenome. RNAcentral describes it as "partial contains 5.8S ribosomal RNA, internal transcribed spacer 2, and large subunit ribosomal RNA". The stretch from base 1 to 120 matches the Rfam family "5.8S ribosomal RNA", at positions 35 to 154 of the family's 154-position model. The record is from RNAcentral.